RNAcentral lists this long non-coding RNA (2717 nucleotides) under Schizosaccharomyces pombe (fission yeast). Lineage: Eukaryota; Fungi; Ascomycota; Schizosaccharomycetes; Schizosaccharomycetales; Schizosaccharomycetaceae. The record is from RNAcentral.
UAACAACAAAGUCAAAAUUCCUCCAACAGAAUUCUCAAUAAUAGAAAGACAUGCGGCAACGGCGGAAGGAUAAAAGGGCGUAACGAAUAAAUGGAGAAACCUAAAAGAAAUUAAAAAAAAAAAAUAAAAAUAUAAUGAAUAUAUGACCAUGACCCUGGGAUGCUAUUAAAAUUUAUAAAAUUGACCACGCUGAAGGAUUUUAAAUGUGACUGAAAGAGAACUUUUGGAAGACAACGACUCUAACUGCUCCAAUAUAACAUCGGCAGGAUUCGCCGACUGAAGAGGAUGUGAUUUCAAAUGAGUGAGCAAACACGUAAGGGUAGGCAUGAUAACGCCAUAACUCUGGACCAGAGAUUGGAGUAUACAAAGCUCGUUCACUAGAUGUCUAGGGCAAAAAUGACCAAACAAAAGAGUAUCAGGGAUGUCAGGAGUGGAGCAUUCGAUAAGAAUAUGAGAAAGCUUUCUUUGAGCAAUUAAACUAGAGCAAGCUCUCCAAAUAUGAAUGUUAAGCGGUUCUGAGGCUACCAUAUCGGGUUCGACGUCCCCGAAAGCCAAAAAGUAUCUGUCGGAUAGGUUAUUCCUAAAUAAAAAUGCAGACGACUUUAGCUCUUGACCGAAAGAGGAGCCAUGAUUAACGGGAAAGGGCAAUAUAGACAAAGUAGUCGUUAAACUAGUAUACAUGGAAGGCUCAACCCUAAAAAGAGGUUAGUCUCAUUGUCAAAUGAGAAAGAGAAAUGCCGAUGGGGUUGAUUUAGCAAAUUCGCAUAAGAGUUAAAUUCAUUAACUUGUUUGAACAAGAACAAAAGAUAUUAGAACAGUGAAAGAAAAAGAGAUAUAAUUAUUAUUGCAAUCUUUGCAAUCUUUCAAAUAAUAUCACUGUCUCACAAAAAAAAUUGCACAAGUACCAUGAAACCAUGCAAAUCAACCAAAGCGUCAGCAGAUAGUUUACAUAUAUGCAAAAUAUAUAAAUGUGUGUUCAGCAAAUAGAUUUGAAGGAAAAAAAGACGAGCAUACAUCUCUUCAACUAAGAUGAAGAAAAUAAAAAAUUUUCAAAACUCAACAUUGCCUUCCCAACCCUCAACCUAUUCACUAAAACAAUGAAAAAAUUUUCAUUUGACAGAAGCUAUUGAGAAAGAAUUUACUUACACCUGAAAAUUAAUAAAUCCGGCUUUGUCGAGGGAAGGCCAUAAUAAGUUAUUAAACACGUGCUUUUUUAGGGUAUCGAUCACAUAGUUUAACCCAACUAUGGUUCUAGGAUUUUGAGGACCAAACAUGGCGCUAUUGAUGACGGCUCCAUAGAUGUGGUCUAAAUGACAGUGUGUGAUGAGAAACGUUUUAAUCCUUUGCUCUGAAAGGUGCCAGGCUUUUGCGUAUGAUUCAUUUUCCACCGUAUAAUUGUCAUACUUGGUGAUGGAAGACCAAGAAUCGACGGACAGGUGUUUUGACUGGAUCAACUCAACCAACGCCGAUAGGUGGCUUCCACCAUCCAGCGAUAUAAUUUCUUGAAAUGCGCCAUCAGAAAUCAAAUGACUGCUACAGCAAGACUCCAAUGGACCCCCCUAAUAAGUCAGCAUGGCUCUCAAUGCAUAAUGUUUGAAUUCUUACAUUUUGUCCCUGUUUUCGUUAACGUUAGUCGAAAUUCUUCAAAAAAAAAAAUAUUUUUCGUUUUUCAUACCAAUGAAUAUAAUGUAAAAGAAUUUUCUACGAGUCCUACUACUUGAUCGGUUUGAAAUUCAGCUUCUUUGAUUUCGAGUGCUGCAUGCAUGGCUAGGCUUAUGGAGAGUUACAGAUCUCCGGUGCAUGCACUAGUCUACAAAAACAUGUCGGUUGACGUCAUAUUUAUUACAAGCAUACAUUUACUACCGUAGAUUUAGGGUACGAUAAACGAUGCUCGAAAUGUGGAGAAACUCGGGGUAUAGUGUAGUGUGUUAAUUAUCCUUAUUCAUGUGCCCGCUUGGUGAAGAAGUAUGCUAUGAAUAAAUAAAAGGAUGGAAGUCGUUAAGUGGAGAGGAACGAAGUUAUGCUUUGCUGCUUUAAGUAAGAUAUUAAGAAAAAAAAUGCGACUUUGAUGAAACACGUUUGACAUGUAUCACUUCCUUAUGAGAGCAAUUUUUCCGAAGGUUCAAUAUACACCCUUAAAGAAUGUCACGUAACGAGAAGAGAGAGAGCUAUUUUUUAUAUAAUUCCAGAGGUUUCCUUUUUUUAUCGUUUAACAUUUCUGAGGGGAAGUUUUGUUGCUUGUUUAACAAUGUCGGCAGAAGUUUAUGCCCUUCUCUUUAAGAGACCGACUAGCAAACAAUUGUAAACUAUCGGACACUAAUAUGUUUUUUAAAAUAAUAAUUCAUUAUACAUACAAAAAACUGAACCUCGUGUAAUAUAGAUUUCCGUAUGAACUUGGUUCUUUAUCGGACUUUGAGGAUUCGUAAGUCCCAGUCAUUUUAUCUGAUUAUGCUAAACUAACUCUUACUUUUUCAUAGAGUACUUAGAUAGUUCCAGUCAGUGCUGCUGAGAACCAGUUUGCAUCAGUUAGGGAGGGUGGUAAUCGUUGUAAGAGCUUUCAAAAUAUGAUCUCCUUUUCCUUUAUGCAAGAUAAUCAAAAGAAACAUUCCUAAAUUACCUAUUUGAAGAAUCUUUUGUAUGUGCCGCUGAAAUUGCUUUCCAUUGAACUUUUUGUUGGUCUAUGGAGAGAAAUCAUCAUAGGUGCAUAGCAGCCUUUA